GAUCCUGGCUCAGAAUCAACGCUGGCGGCGUGCCUAACACAUGCAAGUCGCACGAGAAAGGGUAGCAAUACCUAAGUACAGUGGCGCACGGGUGAGUAACACGUGAAUGAUCUACCUCCGAGUGGGGAAUAACUGAGAGAAAUCUUGGCUAAUACCGCAUAACACUUACGAGUCAAAGCAGCAAUGCGCUUGGAGAGGAGUUCGCGGCAGAUUAGUUAGUUGGCGGGGUAAUGGCCCACCAAGACGAUGAUCUGUAUCCGGCCUGAGAGGGCGCACGGACACACUGGAACUGAAACACGGUCCAGACUCCUACGGGAGGCAGCAGUGGGGAAUUUUGCGCAAUGGGGGAAACCCUGACGCAGCAACGCCGCGUGGAGGAUGAAAUCCCUUGGGAUGUAAACUCCUUUCGAUAGGGAAGAUUAUGACGGUACCUAUAGAAGAAGCCCCGGCUAACUUCGUGCCAGCAGCCGCGGUAAUACGAGGGGGGCAAGCGUUGUUCGGAUUUAUUGGGCGUAAAGGGUGCGUAGGCGGUUUGGCAAGUCUUGUGUGAAAUCUUUGGGCUCAACCCAAAGCCCGCAUAAGAAACUGCCGGGCUUGAGUAUGGGAGAGGUGAGUGGAAUUUCCGGUGUAGCGGUGAAAUGCGUAGAUAUCGGAAGGAACACCUGUGGCGAAAGCGGCUCACUGGACCAU
RNAcentral lists this ribosomal RNA (690 nucleotides) under uncultured Acidobacteriota bacterium. RNAcentral describes it as "bacterial SSU rRNA". It matches the Rfam family "Bacterial small subunit ribosomal RNA", at positions 15 to 737 of the family's 1533-position model. Lineage: Bacteria; Pseudomonadati; Acidobacteriota. The record is from RNAcentral.